AUUUUAAAGAGAGUUUGAUCCUGGCUCAGGACGAACGCUGGCGGCGUGCCUAAUACAUGCAAGUCGAACGAACGGAGGAAGAGCUUGCUCUUCCAAAGUUAGUGGCGGACGGGUGAGUAACACGUGGGCAACCUGCCUGUAAGUUGGGGAUAACUCCGGGAAACC
Molecule: ribosomal RNA, 165 nt
Filed under: Listeria ivanovii
Lineage: Bacteria; Bacillati; Bacillota; Bacilli; Caryophanales; Listeriaceae
Description: 16S rRNA. Bacterial SSU
Rfam family: Bacterial small subunit ribosomal RNA
Source: RNAcentral